GACGAACCACACAAACGUUAUUCGGAAUUACUGGGCUUAAAGGGUGCGUAGGCGGCGCAGAAAGUUGGGUGUGAAAUACCUCGGCUCAACCGAGGAACUGCGCCCAAAACUGCUGUGCUCGAGGAAGAUAGAGGUGAGCGGAACUUACGGUGGAGCGGUGAAAUGCGUUGAUAUCGUAAGGAACACCGGUGGCGAAAGCGGCUCACUGGAUCUCUUCUGACGCUGAGGCACGAAAGCUAGGGUAGCGAACGGG
This 253-nucleotide ribosomal RNA is filed under the name uncultured bacterium. Its description in RNAcentral is "partial 16S ribosomal RNA". It matches the Rfam family "Bacterial small subunit ribosomal RNA", at positions 524 to 776 of the family's 1533-position model. The record is from RNAcentral.